AAAACCGCCGACGCUCUGGAGGGGGACCUGUGUUGAGCUGGCAGAGACUGGGCUGUGGGGGCGUCCUCACCUUCAGAGAGCCUGCAGACGCCGAGAGGGUCUUGGCCCAGGCAGAUCACGAACUACAUGGUGCCCAGCUGAGCCUGCGGCCAGCUCCACCACGAGCCCCUGCACGCCUGCUGCUCCAAGGACUGCCCCCUGGCACCACGCCCCAGCGCUUGGAGCAGCAUGUCCAGGCCUUGCUGCGGGCCUCGGGGCUCCCAGUACAGCCUUGCUGUGCCUUGGCCAGCCCCCGGCCAGACCGGGCUCUGGUCCAGUUGCCCAAGCCCCUUUCUGAGGCAGGUGAGAGGCAGGGUUGGGGUUGAGGUGCUGGCUAGGGGGGAUUCCCUGAGCUGACCUGCACAUACCCCACAGAUGUCCGUGUCCUGGAGGAGCAGGCCCAGAAUCUGGGCCUGGAGGGGACCUUGGUGUCCCUGGCCCGGGUUCCCCAGGCCCGAGCGGUGCGUGUGGUGGGGGAUGGUGCCUCUGUGGACCUGCUGUUGCUGGAGUUGUACCUGGAGAAUGAGCGCCG
RNAcentral lists this long non-coding RNA (571 nucleotides) under Homo sapiens (human). RNAcentral's name for it is "non-protein coding lnc-PLEC-3:4". Lineage: Eukaryota; Metazoa; Chordata; Mammalia; Primates; Hominidae. The record is from RNAcentral.